GCCAGCAGCUAUAUCACCCUGCAGCUAAGUAGGGUUGAGCCUGGUCAGUACCUGGAAGGGCGACCACCUGGGAAGGUAUGGUUGCUGCUGGAA
This 93-nucleotide ribosomal RNA is filed under the name Lepisosteus oculatus (spotted gar). The record is from RNAcentral. Lineage: Eukaryota; Metazoa; Chordata; Actinopteri; Semionotiformes; Lepisosteidae.